Molecule: non-coding RNA, 225 nt
Organism: Vicia faba (fava bean)
Lineage: Eukaryota; Viridiplantae; Streptophyta; Magnoliopsida; Fabales; Fabaceae
Source: the annotation of a GenBank genome assembly
AUGAAUCGUAUGAAAAUAAGUGUAAAGAGGAAACUGAGUGGUGGAGAUCUGAUGUGGAUAUAUGGUGAACCGCUGCUUCAAGCUUCGCCAGCGACCUGUCAAAGGUGGUGGUGGUCGUGUCGGACGCGGUUUUUAAUUCGAAGGUUUUUGAGCAGCACUGCUGAUAGGAGUCAGUGGUCAGCGAAGUUCUUACGGCUUUGUGUAAGGUGUAUCGUGAAUCUAUAG